AUACGUAGGGUGCGAGCGUUAAUCGGAAUUACUGGGCGUAAAGCGUGCGCAGGCGGCUUUAUAAGCCAGAUGUGAAAUCCCCGGGCUCAACCUGGGAACUGCAUUUGGAACUGUAAGGCUAGAGUACGGCAGAGGGGGGUAGAAUUCCACGUGUAGCAGUGAAAUGCGUAGAUAUGUGGAGGAAUACCGAUGGCGAAGGCAGCCCCCUGGGUCGAUACUGACGCUCAUGCACGAAAGCGUGGGGAGCAAACAGGAUUAGAAACCCUAGUAGUCC
Molecule: ribosomal RNA, 274 nt
Filed under: uncultured bacterium
Lineage: Bacteria
Description: partial 16S ribosomal RNA
Rfam family: Bacterial small subunit ribosomal RNA
Source: RNAcentral